This 413-nucleotide long non-coding RNA is filed under the name Rattus norvegicus (Norway rat). RNAcentral's name for it is "long non-coding RNA NONRATT029968". Lineage: Eukaryota; Metazoa; Chordata; Mammalia; Rodentia; Muridae. The record is from RNAcentral.
GCCCCGAUGUCUCAUGUAUGAGAUUUAUGUAGAAACCUGUGGGCAGAGUGCUCAGAACCAAGUCAAUCCAGCGACAUUUGGGAAGCUCGUGCGUUUGGUUUUCCCCGAUCUGGGCACCCGGAGGCUGGGCACACGAGGAAGUGCCAGGUAUCAUUACGACGGGAUCUAUAUCAAGAAGAGCUCCUUCUUCUAUGCUCAUUACUGCUACCUGCUGGGUAAAAAGAGCUGUCACAGUACAUCCCCACUGAGAUGACCCAUGGGAGCCUCACACCCAGGGUGCGGAAGCUUCAGCUCAGAGCCUCCCUAGAAAUCGCCUCCACCUCACUUUUCCGUGACGACGCUCGUGCCGAGCUCCACUCCCGUCCCGCCCCACCCCAUCCCCGAACGCCAUUGGGCUGCAAACCCUUCUUCAC